GUUUUAAUAGUUUAACAAAAACAUCGGUCUUGUAAACCAAAAUUAAGAAAAAUCUUUUAAAACU
RNAcentral lists this transfer RNA (64 nucleotides) under Halidaya aurea. RNAcentral's name for it is "tRNA-Thr". It matches the Rfam family "tRNA". Rfam says of the family: Transfer RNA (tRNA) molecules are approximately 80 nucleotides in length. Lineage: Eukaryota; Metazoa; Arthropoda; Insecta; Diptera; Tachinidae. The record is from RNAcentral.